This 667-nucleotide long non-coding RNA is filed under the name Pongo abelii (Sumatran orangutan). RNAcentral describes it as "lincRNA". The record is from RNAcentral. Lineage: Eukaryota; Metazoa; Chordata; Mammalia; Primates; Hominidae.
GGCAUCUAGAACACUGAGAAAUCCAGGAUGGACACUUAACACUACCAAAGAUUGAUCUAUUUUGGAAUUAGUUCUUUAGAUCAGAGGUCCCCAACCCCGGGACUGCAGACUGCCACUGAUCUUUGGCCUGUCAGGCACCCAGCCACACAGCAGGAGUGUGAAAAAAAAGGAAAAAACUGAAAAUCUCAAGAGGAUUCCAGGAAAUCAAAACAAUGAAUUAUUGAAUAAAGAAUUUGAAAGAGAAAAUAGAUGCAUACUGAAAAAAGAAUUUUGUUUAGUGAGAUAGAUGUAAUAAUGAAGGCAUGUUGAUAACGGGGGAGCUAUGUAUAUAUGAGGGGAGGGAUAUAUCGGAAAUCUCUGUAUCUUCCUCUCAAUCUUUCUUUGAUCCUAAAACUGCUCUAAAAAAUAUUUUGAGAAGGAAUAGUGAUGUAGUAAACAUGUUCUGUUAUUUAAAAAGAGAGACUUUUCAUAGCCAUCUCCCUCCCCCUCUACACACACACACAGUCAUGUCCGUCUUCAUUCCCUUACUCAAUAAUUUGUACAGACACACCCACUGGGCUCCAGUAAUCCUAAAGUUUCUAGAAAAUCAAGCACAGAAAAAGGUUAAAACCCUGAGGGAAUAAAAGAAUUCCUUUACGUCCAUUGCAUUUCUCAGGAAGUGAACUAA